This 1886-nucleotide long non-coding RNA is filed under the name Gossypium barbadense (sea-island cotton). Its description in RNAcentral is "long non-coding RNA (GBAR_LNC018070)". The record is from RNAcentral. Lineage: Eukaryota; Viridiplantae; Streptophyta; Magnoliopsida; Malvales; Malvaceae.
AGUAACUUGCCAUUAAUUCUCUCUUACAUUCCAAUCCUAAAAAAUGCUUCCAUCUUUUAGCUGCAACAGUUUAUAAUCAUCAGAAAGGUCUAGUCAGAAUAAUAUUACCUUCUCCUUUUAAACAGUUUUUUUUUUUUAAAUCAUGCCACUACAACUGUAGCUGCGCUCAUGUUAACAAUUAAUUCCUAUAAUCGACAUCAAAAUUAUAUGAAAGAAUUAACACUUGGUUACCGAGUUACCAUAUUUGAAGAUAACGCGAAAGGUAAAAACACAAAAGGCAAGCAUGACCAAGCAAACAAGGUAUGGACAUUGAUUUUUUUGAAUCGGGAAUGACCAAAUGGGACCGUGAAGAGGUGACAAAGGAGAAAUCAGGCAUUCACGGUUUCCAUUGGAUGAAAUGAGAUAAGAUCACUGUGCUUCUUCCACGUGGCAGGUUGCCAAAGAUAAGGCUUUACCAUUCAAGAAAAGUUUCCACCCUCUUUGUGGUCAUUAUGGUUGUAAUGUCAUCUGAUUUAGGAUCCAACGGUCACCCUGUCUCCCAAACCAAUCUCUAAAUGUGGUGAGCUUAGACCAAAUUUUAUGACUAUAUAUAGGGGAUUGCACCAAGGCAGUGACACUAUUAAGGGAUCAGUGAGACUCUUUUGUAUACCUGUAGCAUAUAGUAAUAGUAAGCAGUAAUAGCAAUGGCCUCCUCCAUGAUCUCAUCGGCAACCAUUGCCACCGUGAACCGCUCCUCCCCGGCACAGGCCAACAUGGUGGCCCCCUUCACCGGCCUCAAAUCUGCCUCUGCUUUCCCAGUCACCAGGAAGGCCAACAACGACAUCACUUCUCUUGCAAGCAACGGUGGGAGAGUGCAAUGCAUGCAGGUACUUGGUGAUGCAUAAAUACCACUUAAAUUACCCCAAGUGUUUGAACACAACAAAUUACAUAAAUUGAAUCAAAUAUAUAUCUUGGCUUUUGAGUACAGGUGUGGCCGCCUCUUGGGAAGAAGAAGUUCGAGACUCUCUCAUACCUGCCCGAUCUUACUCCCGUACAGUUGGCUAAGGAAGUAGAUUACCUUCUUCGCUCUAAAUGGAUUCCUUGCUUGGAAUUCGAAUUAGAGGUGUUUUGGAGCUCUAAAUUAUUCCAUUCCUCCUCUUAAUUUUUUUAGUGGGAUAUUUGAGUUGAUUAAGUGUGUUUUAUAUGUAUGUGCAGGAGGGAUUCGUGCACCGUAAGUACUCGAGCUUACCCACGUACUACGAUGGACGCUACUGGACCAUGUGGAAACUGCCCAUGUUCGGGUGCACCGACUCGGCUCAGGUGUUGAAGGAGCUUGAGGAAUGCAAGAAGGAAUACCCCAAUGCAUUCAUUAGAAUCAUUGGGUUCGACAACGUUCGUCAAGUGCAGUGCAUUAGUUUCAUUGCCUACAAGCCUGAAGGCUACUAAGUUGUUUACUUCCCUCCUAGGAAUUCCAUUUGUUUCAAAGUUGUACUUAAAUUAAGCCCCUCAAGCCCCCCCCCCCUUUUUCUUUUUCUUUUUUAGUUGAGUUAUUUGGCUUGGGGUCUCUCUUUGUUUUGUUUUUGGAUUUCCAAUGGAACGGCUGAGAACUAAUGAAUAAAAAGGUAGUUUCUUGCCAUAUUUCAUGAAUCCAGUUCUUCCUCCAUUUUCAGUGCUAAGAUAUUCAUGUUAAGAUAGGAUAAAAAUUAAAAGAAAAAAAGGUGAUUGGGUGGUCUGGCUUUAAAAUAAGAGGAUAAAGAUUUUGUGGACAAGCAACGCUGUGCUGUUGGAGGCUCAUUAUCUUAGUACAUAGGAAUACACCAAAGAAACCAUUUUUAUUAAAUUGUUUUAUUAUGACAUCACAAGUUUCUAUUAUUAAAAUAACAACUUAAAAAGGCUAAAUUCAAAUA